GAAUAUUGGACAAUGGGGGGAACCCUGAUCCAGCCAUGCCGCGUGUGUGAAGAAGGCCUUUUGGUUGUAAAGCACUUUAAGCGAGGAGGAGGAGCUCUUGGUUAAUACCCACGCUGCCUGGACGUUACCCGCAGCAUAAGCACCGGCUAACUCUGUGCCAGCCGCCGCGGUACUACAGAGGGUGCAAGCGUUAACCGGAUUUACUGGGCGCAAAGCGGGCGUAGGUGGCCAAUUAAGGCAAAUGUGAAAUCCCCGAGCUUAACUUGGGAAUUGCAUUCGAUACUGGUUGGGUAGAGUAUGGGAGAGGAUGGUAGAAUUCCAGGUGUAGGGGUGAAAUGCGUAGAGAUCUGGGGGAAUACCGAUGGCGAAGGCAGCCAUCUGGCCUAAUACUGACACUGAGGUGCGAAAGCAUGGGGAGCAAACA
This 424-nucleotide ribosomal RNA is filed under the name uncultured bacterium. RNAcentral's name for it is "partial 16S ribosomal RNA". It matches the Rfam family "Bacterial small subunit ribosomal RNA", at positions 359 to 774 of the family's 1533-position model. The record is from RNAcentral.